CUCAGCUGACCUCAAGUAUUUGCAUGUUAUGUAUAACCCUGUCUGGGCAGGGCUACAGUCAUAUAAGAUUUUGUUUCUUUCAUCAUGAUGGUAUGAGGACAGCAUUAUGCAUCAACAGCUACAAGAAUCUUUCCUGAGAAACUGAAACCUAAGAGGAACAAUGAUACAGACAACAUUACCUUUAGACAAGAAUGCUCCUCAAAAAAUAUUCAUCUAGAAGAUAUAGAUAGUACACUUGUACACAGAACAGUGGAGUAACAAUAACAACACACCUAAAUGACAAAAUAAGACAGAGUGGUAAUAACAAGAAAGACACUGUAAUGUUGGGCACUUAAGGGACAAGUAACAGAAAACUUUAACAUGUAUUUAUUGUCUUAAACAAGAAGCAAAAUAUGCCAGUUUCAUCAAUAAUCACAGUUGUGUGUCAGAGACAGACCAUGUGAAUAAAAUCUGUGAAUUUUUAUUUACUACUACAAACUUUGGAAUUAUUUUUGUAUCACUUUACAAGCUCAAAAUCUUAUUGACCCUUAAUGACCUCUUACAUGCUUCUGUCUAUUGUUUUCCAAUGUUCCAAUUAUACACAACUCCAUCUCAGAAAUGUUCUGUGACGCCCUCUUUUGUUCAGGCUCUAACAAAGUUUUGCUUCUCAAGAAGUCACAGCCGAUCCUCCCAUAUAAGGCGCAGCAGCACCACAGCUGCUCACACUACAUCACACAAAGUGAAAAAGCAAUGGGUUUACGUAUGGCUGGUCUGUCAACAGCUGCCACUGCAGGCGUGGCCGGAGCUGGAGGAGCAGCAGGAGGACUGCUGGCUCUGCUCAUCUGAGACCAAGCUGAAGAUCAUGAAGGAAUCAAAUACAAGGAAGAAUACAUUUACUUUUGCCAAAUAGAAACAACUGCAACUUACAUUAAUGAAGUAGAUAAUUUACUGAAGGAGAAGUUAUGUGCAUUUAACUGAAAUGUGAGGACAAAAACAUGUUUUGUUUGUCUGCAAAACACGUUUACAUUGUCGAGUGCACCAGCUUUCAUAUAUGGCAAUAAAAUGCAUUUGAAAAGUU
Molecule: long non-coding RNA, 1057 nt
Organism: Lates calcarifer (barramundi perch)
Lineage: Eukaryota; Metazoa; Chordata; Actinopteri; Centropomidae
Exons: 2
Source: RefSeq, a predicted model, not a curated record